UACGGAGGGUGCAAGCGUUGUUCGGAUUUACUGGGCGUAAAGCGCGCGCAGGUGGGUGAACAAGUCGGAAGUGAAAUCCCAGGGCUCAACCCUGGGGCUGCUCCCGAAACUGUACGCCUAGGGACUGGUAGAGGCUGGUAGAAUUCCCGGUGUAGCGGUGGAAUGCGUAGAGAUCGGGAAGAAUACCCGUGGCGAAGGCGGCCCGCUGGGCCAGGUCCGACACUGAGGCGCGAAAGCGUGGGGAGCAAACAGG
RNAcentral lists this ribosomal RNA (253 nucleotides) under uncultured bacterium. RNAcentral's name for it is "partial 16S ribosomal RNA". It matches the Rfam family "Bacterial small subunit ribosomal RNA", at positions 524 to 776 of the family's 1533-position model. The record is from RNAcentral.